GGUGCUCUCGCGAUAGCCGGGCGGGUCCUGGCUGGCGGCUGAGCCUGCCUUUUCCAAUCGCCCCGCCUAAGUUCGGGAGCGUCCCCGGAGAGGUGGCGGUUUGUUCAUCAGAUUAUCCCAGGCCCUGCGUGACCGGGGCUGGAGGGCAGCCGGUUAGCUGUCCGUGCACUCCACCUGCCUCCGGCGCCUCGGAGUGCAGCCGUGAGAGGGCCGCCGGCUGUGAAGCACGGCAUCGGAACCCCCUGUGACGGCCCGCCCGACCGCACUGGGGAGCAGAAGGCUGCGGGACGCAGGUGCCCUCCGAGCUGCUCCGCGGGAUCCCGCACCGGCGGCGGCCGGGCCGAGCGCUGCGCCUCCUGGUGGCCGGGGAGGGACUUAGUCACCCCGGCCCAAAGCUGUCUUCUUUGCUGUUCUAAUUAAAACGGGAGCUCGGUUUUCGUGUGGUUUAUUGCACUGCAUCCCUGCGGUGAUGUGACAAGAAAAAUCCCGGGACCGUCUAAGCCAAGCUGGGCUAACUCGAAGGCUAGCGGGCCAAGUAGACAAGGUUUAAGUUUAUGUGGGCUGCAAGAAAACAAAAGUAUACAAAAUACAAAAAGUACUCUGUAGAAACAAAAAGGACAAGAGCAGUGAUAAAAUUAAUGUUCUCUUCCUGACGCUCGGCGUGUCUUCUCUGCGACUGUCUUUCCCACUUGGGCGGAAAUCUUGUUCGCAGAGAUUCCCUUCCAAACGGACCCAGUAAUGCCACGAAACCGUUGUUUUUUCCGGUCAUUGAAGGAGCUCCAUCUGUAGCUACAGAAGUUAGUUUUGAGAGAGGUAGACUGUAUUUUUGCAGAAGUUUAAAAACAUAAUUAAAUACAUCUUGUCCUGUGCUGGUGUUAUGUAUCGGUACUAGUUCCAAUAACUCCUCAAACAUGUUGAAAUCCGUGUCGCAAGCACGAAGAAACACAGCUAACUGAGCUACGCCUCCAAUGUCCAUACUCUCGUCCCAGCCAAUGGAAAAGCUUUGAAACUAGAUGAUUUUGCUUUGAUCUGAACACUUAAAUUGUGGGCCAAAUCAGUAACUUUUCCCGCAACUGUAUUUCGAGACAAAGAGAUUGUUUGAAAAGACUUCACAUUUCCAGAACAAUUUCUGCAGCUUUGAUUAGACAUUCCUCGAUGAAACCACCGUCAGUAAAAGGUUUCGGGUGUUUAUCUAUCCACGCCGACAAGACGUAGCUCGCGUGCACCCCCGCUCCCCUUUCUUGUGAUGCUGUAGUAACCAUGCACUGUUGUGUUUUCAGUCCCAACUUGAGCUCUUUCAACUUU
Long non-coding RNA from Eptesicus fuscus (big brown bat), 1305 nucleotides. RefSeq lists it as uncharacterized. The record is from RefSeq and is a predicted model, not a curated record. The transcript is spliced from 3 exons. NCBI's taxonomy places the organism in Eukaryota, Metazoa, Chordata, Mammalia, Chiroptera, Vespertilionidae.